GUCUAUGGCCAUGCCACCCUGAACAGGCCCAAUCCUGUUUGAUCUUGGAAGCUAAGCAGGGUCGAGUCUGGUUAAUACUUGGAUGGGAGACCACCUAGGAAGACCAGGUGCUGUAGGCA
Molecule: non-coding RNA, 119 nt
Organism: Pteropus alecto (black flying fox)
Lineage: Eukaryota; Metazoa; Chordata; Mammalia; Chiroptera; Pteropodidae
Source: Rfam